Molecule: long non-coding RNA, 433 nt
Filed under: Malus domestica (apple)
Lineage: Eukaryota; Viridiplantae; Streptophyta; Magnoliopsida; Rosales; Rosaceae
Description: long non-coding RNA (MDOM_LNC014304)
Source: RNAcentral
AAGGUGUGUUGUUUGAAUUUGAUCUUGAAUUUUGUUGGUGUGUUAGAGGGUAGGUAAUUCUAGUUAACAGGUCGGAUUUAGGUUGAGCAUGUUACAGUGAAGUUUGAGGGCAUAUAUGUAUGAUGUGUUGCAGGCCAAUUCAUUUGUAAUUCAAGUGUUCUCAUCUACUCUUAAUUUUGUCAGGUGCAAGAGGCUAUCAAUCUAGGGAUGAGAAUAAUAUUUACCGGCCACUCUGUCGGCGGCGCAAUCGCUGCGCUUGCCACAAUCUGGUUCUUGGAAAAUUUCCCGAAUGCAAAAAAUGGAUCAUUCUUCUGUGUGACCUUCGGAUCUCCCCUUAUUGGUGACCACCUUAUUUCUCAUGCUCUUAGGAGAGAAAAUUGGUCUCAAUACUUCAUAAAUUUUGUUAUGAGGUGUGACAUUGUCCCUCGAAUUC